This 286-nucleotide ribosomal RNA is filed under the name Ancistrocerus nigricornis. RNAcentral describes it as "partial 28S ribosomal RNA". Lineage: Eukaryota; Metazoa; Arthropoda; Insecta; Hymenoptera; Vespidae. The record is from RNAcentral.
AGCGUCAGCGGCGUUGGCUCGGCGAAGUGGACGAUGUCGCGGACUACGGUAUCGCGACACGUUAUCACUAUGCCGCAUCCGGCGUCGUCGUCGUGCACUUCUCCCCUAGUAGAACGUCGCGACCCGUUGGGUGCCGGUCUACGGCCCGAGGUGUAAGACUGUCGCGUCGCUUCGGCGCACGCGGCAGACCCUCGGUUUCCCGGCCGGCUGCCCGGCGGUAUAACGCACGGUAUCUGGCCGCAAUUUUUGAACUGCGUCGGGCCCGCGCAAGCGAGGCCAGUAUCCC